This is a non-coding RNA of Microcebus murinus (gray mouse lemur), 1965 nucleotides long. NCBI's taxonomy places the organism in Eukaryota, Metazoa, Chordata, Mammalia, Primates, Cheirogaleidae. The record is from RefSeq and is a predicted model, not a curated record.
AGCUUGCCGGGCCGCCGUUGGGUUGAGGUGAAUUUGUGCGGUCAGGGAGUUUGCUAGGCAGGUGUAGGGAUGAAGUGCGAGGACAGGGGUAGAAUUGGGUUGCUAUGGGAAGUAGUUCGAGUCUAGUUUUGAGUGUAGAAGACUUCCUUCAAGUCCUGGAAGCGUGGUUGCUGAAUUAAGAGCCCAGACAAUUACUCUUGGGAAGCACGGCACUAGAUUCUAUCUUUGAAUCAAACUGGGCCUGUUGUAAAGACACAUACCAAUGGAGCAUGGAUCCUGACUUAAGUCUAAAUUCUGUUCAUCAAGCUCUGCGGUCCCCAACCCUCAGGCAAGUUAGGGACUGGGCUGCUGAGGCCCACACCCCUAGCCUGUCCGUGGAAACGGGGGAGCCGGCCCCCAUAUACAGCAGGAGGUGAGCGGCAGCAAGCCAAGUUUUAUCUAUAUUUACAGCUACUCCCAUUGCUGCCAUCAGCACCUGACCUCUGCCUCCUCCUGUCCCCCUACCAAAAUAGGGGGACACAAUCCCACCUCCCCACACCCUCACCUCCUUUCCCUGACAGUGGGAAAAUUAUCUUAUGUGAAAUCCCUCAAAAUGUUAGGGACUGCUAUCAAGCUGGAAGGUUCUGAUUUCUCCCUGGUCGGGGCAGGGUCAUUUGGGAACACUGCACAUUGUCACACUUUCCUCACUGGCCCAGUCCAUGAACUCAAUUUUUUGGAGUCUUAUUGUGUGUACUGAUAUGAUUAAAAACUGAAAGGUGUUUGCUAUAGGUUCAGUUGCCCCUCCUCCUCUCUUUCACAUUUUGAAGCCCUAACCCCCAAUGGGACUAAAUUUGGAAACAGGGCUUUUAGGGGGUGAUUAAGGUUAAAUGAGGUCAAAAAUGUUCUAAUUGUGUAGGAUUGGUGGCUUUAUAAAAAGAAGAAGAGAGAGCUCUCCCACCAUACCCAGGCACUGAGGAAGCACACAGCAAGAGGGCGACAUCUACAAACCAGGAAGAGAGGCUUCACCAGAACCUGGCCAUGUUGGCACCCUGAUCUCAGACUUCCAGCUUCCAAACUGUGGGAAAAUAAAUUUCUGUUGUAUAUGACACCCAGUCUGUGGUAUUGAGGGAAAAAAAAUGUUUAAAUGAGGAAUGUGAACCCUUUCAAAUUAUUAGUCCCAGAGAGGCAUUAAAUGAGACAGUAAUCACAUCCUACUUUCGCCUUUUAAUGUAUGAAUUCAUUAAUUUGCUCUAGCAGCUGUGAAUUAACCUAAUAAUGCCUCACUGGACAUUAUAUCCCAUACACUUUAGUUUAACAAUGCAUAACCAAUCACUAAUAAACAUUAUUUCUAUAAACCAAUGAGAAUUCCUGACAGAAUUUUGUAUCAGACCCUUCCCUGUACCAUUUUUAUUUAUUUAUUUAUUUUUUGCCUUUAAAAACCUGCCUGUAACACAGGACAAUGGAGCUCAUAUCCAAGAUUACUUGGGUCUGGGUCUGAAUCUUCCCAGCAGUUGUCCUUAUUUUGACUCAAGUAAACUUAUUUUGUGCUUCAGGGUCUUCCUUUUAGGUCAACAGUAUUUUGUUAUGGUAGUCCAAGCAAACAAAAAGGCUAUGUUACUCUAGUCUCAGUAAGAAAUCAGAACAUCAGACAACAGUGCUUUGGAACCUGUGUAAUGAUAUGUAACCUCAAUGGUUAGAGAUCGCUGUUCUCAAAAGUUCAGUGAAAACGUGGUACAGCUUCAAUUCAAAAGGGCCCUUCAGCAGCCUUAGUAGUUUUAGCACAACCUAGCAGCUUCAAGGCAAUGUAAUGUUGGCAUCUGGAUGCCAGUACCUCCUGCAGUAAUGAACAAAGCAACCCUAGUCCACACGCUGCACUCUGGCAGCCUUGACACAGACGUGGUAAUCAUCCUGAGCAGCACCUUUUAACCUGUAUGAGCAAUAGCAGUGAUCCUAUCCUGGCUCGUGUGUUGCUGGGGGAGGGGUGGA